Molecule: long non-coding RNA, 289 nt
Filed under: Elaeis guineensis (African oil palm)
Lineage: Eukaryota; Viridiplantae; Streptophyta; Magnoliopsida; Arecales; Arecaceae
Description: long non-coding RNA (EGUI_LNC018479)
Source: RNAcentral
UGAAAUGUGGUAUAUUCGAUGAUAAUUUAAAUAACUUACUAAUAUAUUUUAAUUAUGAGCAUUGCAUUGAUUCGUACAAGAAAUUAAAAAUAUACAUAUAUUAAGCAUGCUUAUAAAUUAACAUAACACCAAAGAAUAACUAACAUGCAAUUUCAAAAAAUUAUUUAAAUACAUUAAGCAUUAAAGCAUAAAUAAAAAAUUUUAAUUAAGUUACCUAUGAUGAAUACAUCGAAAAAGAAGAGAUGGGCCUAACUUAGAUUGGGGAGAGCACCAAAAGACAGGAGGAGGG